Molecule: ribosomal RNA, 466 nt
Filed under: Candidatus Thalassarchaeaceae archaeon
Lineage: Archaea; Methanobacteriati; Thermoplasmatota; Candidatus Poseidoniia; Candidatus Poseidoniales; Candidatus Thalassarchaeaceae
Description: partial 23S ribosomal RNA
Rfam family: Archaeal large subunit ribosomal RNA
Source: RNAcentral
CAAAUUGAUGCUACAACCUGACUGGGGGAUGGCUCGGCUCGAGAGCUGAUGAAGGUCGUGACAAGCUGCGAUAAGCUACGGGGAGGCGCAUGAAUGCCUUGGAUCCGUAGAUGGCCGAAUAGGACCUCCUGGCUUUACGAAGUCAUUCCCGUAUUAAUUUACUGGAAAGGGAACCGCCCGAAUUGAAGCAUCUUAGUAGGGCGAGGAACAGAAAUCAAACGAGAUUCCGUUAGUAGUGGCGAAUGAACACGGAAUAGAACAAACCGAAUCCGCUUGGGAAACCUUGUGGAGAUGUGGGGUAUGGAUCACCUAUCGUCUAAAUUCACGAAACAGAAGUCGAUCUGGAACGACGUACCAUAGAGGGUGAAAGUCCCGUAAACGAAAAGAUGUCAACUUUUUAAGUGUUCCUGAGUACGACGGGACACGUGAAAUCUUGUCGGAAUCCGGGGGGACCACCCUCCAAGGC